Chlorocebus sabaeus (green monkey) is the source of this 216-nucleotide non-coding RNA. It matches the Rfam family "Metazoan signal recognition particle RNA". Rfam says of the family: The signal recognition particle (SRP) is a universally conserved ribonucleoprotein. It is involved in the co-translational targeting of proteins to membranes. The eukaryotic SRP consists of a 300-nucleotide 7S RNA and six proteins: SRPs 72, 68, 54, 19, 14, and 9. NCBI's taxonomy places the organism in Eukaryota, Metazoa, Chordata, Mammalia, Primates, Cercopithecidae. The record is from Rfam.
GCCAGGCAUGGUGGCGGGCACCUGUAAUCCCAGCUACUCGGGAGGCUGAGGCAGGAGAAUUGCUUGUACCUGGGAGGCAGAGGUUGCAGUGAGCUGAGAUCGCACCACUGCACUCCAGCCUGGGGNNNNNNNNNNCCCCCAGGCUGGAGUGCAGUGGUGCGAUCUCAGCUCACUGCAACCUCUGCCUCCCAGGUACAAGCAAUUCUCCUGCCUCAG